Conger conger (European conger) is the source of this 3559-nucleotide long non-coding RNA. RefSeq lists it as uncharacterized. The record is from RefSeq and is a predicted model, not a curated record. The transcript is spliced from 3 exons. Lineage: Eukaryota; Metazoa; Chordata; Actinopteri; Anguilliformes; Congridae.
CGGGGCACCGUCGGCAAGAAGGGCUUAAAGGGGCAGAAGGGGGAGCAGGGCCCCCCAGGCCUGGAUCAGCCCUGCCCUGUGGGUCAGGACGGCCUACCCAUACCAGGAUGCUGGCACAAGUGAUUACUAACACGAAGCAUGGCCGUCUGUACAUAUUGAUAUGGUAUAUUUUGCAACUGAUUUUUUAAGGACACUUUUAUAUAAUAUAUUGAGCUUUUUUUAAAAAAUAAUGGACAUUAUAUUGUAAUUGUUCGUCUAUUACCACGACUGUGUUAACAAACAUUUUUGUAGUAUUAUGGAUGAUGAAAAUGGAAGGAUGGAACUUUUUUUUUUUUGCGCAAAAGGAGAAGAGAAAUUAAGUCAAUGAAGCAGCAAGUGGACUUAAACCCUGACGUCAGGGAGACGAGUUGCUGCUAUGGUGACGAUCAGUAGUGCAGUUGAGUUCUAACUUUACUAACGGACUGGCUGGUUUGUUUACCGACGGGGACUGCUGCAUGCGAGUGCACCGGCUGUUCCGUGGACGACGCGGGGCCGGACUUUUGAAAAUCGGUGUUGCCAUUGCUCUUUCUACUUUCUUUUUGUUUCGAAAGGGCGAGCCCGUGUGGCAGAUACGAAAGCGGAAGCGCCUCUCGCAGCCCUAACGGGCGAGAACGUGCGAGGCACGCGGAGUUCUCAGUGGCCGUGCGCUGUACUAAUUAUGGAACAUGUCCGCGACACACCGUCGAGGACUGCACAGUCUGCGAUGCGGAGUUUCGCCAGCAGGUGGAGCUGCGGUGAUCACAACGCAUCAAAAGUGCCUUGGAAACGGAGGUGCGCCUCGUCGCCUGGUUUUCUUCAAGGAGCUGCCAGAAGGGCAAUUGUAACUCUCCUUCUACGCUGAAAAUAUUUUCCCUACAUUGUUAAUGGCCGCUUUGAUUGACUCAAAAAAAAUUUUUGUUGAUUUUUUUUUCUUGGUUAUAGAACAAAAGUUCCCUUCCUAAUGAAACAAUCAAUGUUUUGAGUUUGCCACGUGGCUAAAUUAAGCUCUCGAGUAGUUGUUGGUUCAGUGUUGUGAGAAGUUACUUUAGCGUGGACUUCCCAAAGAAAAUCCUUUCAUUUAAACAUCAGACAGACCAUCUGUUUGGAAAACUUAUGCAUUUGUGUUUCUUAUAUCUUGUACUACUGAAAUGUAGUGAUGACUAUGAUGUGUUUUAGUUAAUCAUUUACAUUUGCAUUCCUGUGCAUGGAUGUCUUUGUAUGAAAUACACAGAGUUAUACCGUAAAUAAUAUGUAUUUGUUUUUUAAAUGAGCAGAAAGAAAACUGUCACGUAAUCAUGCAGGUCGCUUUUGAUUUCUGCCGGCAUCCGCAUGAUUGGACGUGUUCGUUCCUCUUGUGAUGGAUUGGAAUGUGUUAUCUAGAACGAUAAAGAAGGAAUUACCAUUAUUUUUUAAGGUUUUUUGACUUUUUUUUUUUAGCUUUUCUAAAUUAUAUAUUUUCGUGUGUCUGUCUAUUCCUCAUGCUGAGGUAUCAGUAGGUUUCUUUCUGUUAAUAUUUCAAAAAAGUAUUUUUCCAAGGUCUAUAUUUUAGCUUUUGCUGCUGAAGGAUAAAUAUUCUUAUCAAGACAAAAUGUGUCUGUCAAUGGGAUUUAUGUCACCGUUUAGGAGAGCAUGUGUCCUGAGAUGGUCUACAGAGGGAUGUAGGACGUCGGUGUUGAUUUAACGGUGAUGAUUGCUGUUGAUUGUUUUUAUUUCUUAUUGAGAUACAGACAUGUGUAUUUACAGUGUGAUAUAUGUGUCCCGUGUUCAUGUUUUAACGUGGGGUGCUGCUCGACAGGUCAGCAGUCAGUGUGUGUGGGUGCUGUCACUUUGAUUUUCCUGAUGUCUGAAGCCCAUGUAGUCGGUCCUCUCUGCCUCUUCUGCUGACUUUUCUGUUCCACGGUGAACCAGACCGGAAUGGCUCCCUUGUACCUCUGUACCAUUACACCUACAGUACUGUGCAAAAGUCUUAGGCACCCGUAUAACAUUCUGUACAGAUAGGAUUCUUUCAAAAAGAAUUCAAUGAAAGGUCCUAAAUUAAUGUACUAUACAUUUGACAUUGCAUUUGAGUAAUCUGGCAAAAACUGAAUCAAAUCGAUAUUUUUUUGUGACCACCCUUCGGCGUUAUAACUGUACCACUUCCCUGAGAUAUAGAACUGCAGGACAGUGUUGGCUAAGACAAUCAGCAGGGAGGUUGUUCCAAGCAUGUUGGAGAACUUGCCACAGUUCUUCUGCAGACUUUGGUUGGCUUCUUGCUUCUGAUCUCAGACAGUCUUGAUCAAGCUUUUAUGUAAAAAGUAGGAAAUUGCUUACAGUAAUAUGUUACUUUUUCUGGUAGGGGCGGGUAGUUAUUUAACCAGUGACAAUAAGCUUUCUGCUUCAGUAUAGAGUGGGGAUAUGCAAAUUUGGCCCUCAUUGCCAGUUGUGCUGCUGGAUUUCUUUUGGACCUGAUAGUUAAUUGAUUGAUUAUUGCCACUGAUUGGCCAGGGAACCUGCCUGGUGUCCUAGGCCUAAAUGAGACCUGAUUAGAGGGGAAGAAUUAAAUCCAUGGAUUUCUCCUGCCGUUGCCCUUGACCAAGGCACUGGCCUCAGAACUGCGGCUGCCCACUGCUCCUAAGUCACUAGGAUGGGUCAGAUGCAGAGGACACAUUACCCCUCAAGGCUGGUAGACGCCAGAUUUGAGUGUCCCUGGUAUAGAGCUUCUGUCACAUGCUAAGUACAAUUUUACUUUAUAUAGUGGAUGUAUUAGUGCCUCAUACACCAUUGGAUCCAUUCAGUGUAUUUUACUCAUGUGUUAUAUUUCAUGUGUUAAAGGUUAAAGGUACAAUAGGUAAUUUUGGACUUCUAACAGUCAAGAGAGGAAUUGCAGUAACAAACACCCUCAAACCACAACACUUUAUUCCUCCCCCUUCUCUGUCAACGCGCUGAUGUUGAAACCCCCCCAGCUGUACAAUGUUUUGGUACAGAGUGUCUGUCCAUAUUUUGAACCCAAAUUUAAGGACUAUAAACACAAGAAGAGGGUGAGUCAACAUGUCAGUCAGCCUUUUUCAACGAUAGGAAGAGUUUCACAAUGGUCUUGAAACAAUGUUUUAACACAAAAAUCUUACCUAUUGUACCUUUCAUUUUCACUGUCAGAUUUUUCAGCGGCUUUAUGGUGUUAAUUAAUUAAUGAGACUGACACCAUAAUCCUCUGGCUGCAAACGGUUCCUUUUGUGUACAGUGUUGAAGUGGUCCCUUGAGGGUCCUAUCUUAGCUGUCUUAAGGAUUGCCUGAGGUUUUUACGGUCUGAAAUCUCUUCUCCAGUUAACGUCUCUUUAUUGGGUUUAACAGGUUUUUGUUACUUUACAGUGUUUCUGUACAGUUUCGCAAUAUUGGAUUUUAUUUUAUUUGUAUUUUUAUUUUAUUUUUUGCUUGUAUUUUGCUGUGUGUUUGGUAGUUAAAGAGUUCCUGCUAUUUUUGUUACUUUCUCUUGUUUUUGAAAGAAGUGCAUUUUGGUGAUUUAAUAUUAAACAUAUAAUCAUAAAUAAACCCUUUUUUAAAACCA